AACCAUAGAAACCUGCGGAGUACCUGCGGAAGGAUCAUUAUUGAAUAUGCCGGUACUAGGUGGUACUUUGGCAGCAUUUUUUGUCCCAACCUGAUCAGCCGGAUGGCAUUGUUGGAGCUUGACUGAAACAAAUAUCGGGCGCAUGCCCAUGAAUAUAAUGUAACACAACUUUCAACAAUGGAUCU
This 185-nucleotide unclassified non-coding RNA is filed under the name soil metagenome. RNAcentral's name for it is "partial contains 5.8S ribosomal RNA, internal transcribed spacer 2, and large subunit ribosomal RNA". The record is from RNAcentral.